CUGGACAACAGAAGCUUUCUCAGCUGUGGGUUGUGGAUGGGAGAGGUCAAAUAUGGAGCAAAUAUAUUGAAAUUCGGAGAGGUCAUACCAGGGGGAAAUGUGUGUGCUUCACCAGGCAGCCCCCCAUGCAGUGCCAUUGAAGCAGGGAAGCCCCCUGACUUUUGCAGAGAUGUUUUCUGCUACCAGAGGGUGCGUCUUCAGGCCUCACCUGCUUCUACCAGAGCUGCGGGAAAAGAGCUGGGAUGCUCAGGCGAAUCAACCAUAAAUGUGUUGUGUGAUGCUGGGCUUCUCUCCCCUCUGAGCGUCAUUUCUAGGAAUGAAAUAGUCAUCCCUGGAUGAUACCCAGAAAAAGCUCUCUCAUCGACCUCUGGGAAGUGCAAGUACCCAUUUCACAGCUGGGGAAAAUGGAGACAACUCAGCAGGACACAACAGUGAUGACUCCUGCCUCCCAGAAGCCUGCUUUUUGUUUCUCUUAAGAUGUUCAUGAACAGGCCAUUUGGAGCAAGCCCCAAAAUAACCUCUUCUUAGGCUGUGGACAGCAGGGCUGGACACUGCAGCACAGGAGACCACCUGGCUUUGCCCAUUCUCCAGAGGGAAGUUAGGUCAGCAGGCUGCAAGCAAGGUUUGUGUGAGUUUGGACCAGAGGAUUUUGGGGUUUCAGAGCAGCUUUGAGCCCAUGGUCUGGCGUGAAGCCUGAAGUCCUGCAGCACAGCAGGCUCAGCCAGGUAUUUGUGCCUUUAUAAUUCAGCUUCAGCGAAGACAAUAUACCUUCCAAAAAUGCAUGACAAGCUGAACGGGAAGAUCUGUGAAGCCUUGAGUUGUUUAGGGGAAAGCACCCUACAAACCUUGCAGUGCCAUCGCUGAGGCUGCAGGGACCAGCUGAGCUGAAGGUCCUGCUUAUGCUGCCAGGCACAGCUCUGCUUUUGCAAACUGAUUUAAUGCCACUGUACCUGGAGCUCAUGCAAAGCACGGCUCUGGAGGAAAAAAAAAGGCACCUGCAGAUCACCUCAGUGGUGUUGGAUUCCCAGGAUGGGCAGCUCCAGGGAUCACAGCAGAGGUGGGAGCGGGCUUGGAGCCGUCUGGUGGAGCUGCUCUGCGUCAGACAGGUUUCUCCCCAGACGCGCUAUGUUUUCCAAAAAUCAGAUUGACUGGGAGCGUUUGAUAUGAGAAACAACUUGAGGGCUGUGUUUAGAGCCAAAGAAAAGCACAGGCAGUAUCAGAGGAUUGUCGGAGCUGAAGAGGAAAAAAUCCCACGCAGAUCAAGCAGCCCAUUUCCCUAAAUGCUGGGGGAAGGUGGCAAAGCCAGGGUUUGAAAGGGGAGGCAGGACAAGAGCAGAGCAGCCUUUGCAGGCACCUGGCUGGGCAGAGGAAGAAGGUCUGGAGCCCAAGGACACAGACUGCAGGUGUAGGCUCUGCUUCAUCAGUCAUGGGCCGUUCCAGGGGCUUGCUCCAGCUUCCCAAGCCCUGCAACCAAGAUCACUCCCAACCACCCCGGUCAGGACCCAGCAGCCACACACAGAUGUGGAAGCUGAUCAUGAGAGAACUUCUGCAGAGCCCUGUUUUCACCAGCACACGGCUGCGCUGAACUGGCUUUGCAAGGACCCCUCCAGGCAUUUGCUUAGGAACUGGUGAAAUUACCCUGCCUAAUGGCCUCCAGAAGCUGAGUUACCCAGGCGUAAACUGUGCCGCGGAGAUCCCAGGAGCUGGGGGAAGCAAACGGCACGUUGGUUUCUGUGCCGGUCUCAAGGUUCUGGCCCUGAGCUGGUAAAUCACAUUCGAGCCUGUGCCUCACUCUGCACAUAAUCAGUGGUGUGAUCCUGUGGAAUAAAUGUGUGUAUGAUGGGAAUGCCUUUAGCAAAGCACACUCCUGUUCCCCCCCACCCCACCAUGUAACCUCCCAGCCUCACAAGCACUCAGCUCAUAGGUUUAUUAUUUAUCCUGGUGAACUGUAUUGAAGCCUGAGCACCUGGCUUCCUGCAUGGCCCUGAAUUACUGCACCAAAUCCCUGCGUAAGGACCUGAGUUUCAGCACUGACUGAUAUGAAUAGGUCUGCCUGCAGCUAAAAAUAGAAAGCACGGGGCAGGCUUCCAGGCAGAGCUGUAGUAACUUCUAAUAUAAGGUGGCUCAGCAGCAGUUCCUAUGGCAAAGCCUCCUCCCAUGCAGUGGGGAAGGCUGUAGGAUGUGCUCAAGCCAGUAUUGGACAACAGAGUUUCCCUGUGGGAACCAACCUGUGAGGUGCAAAGGCAGUUUUAAAGUUUUCUUCUUCCUAGUGUGGGGCUGUCUCCUGCUCUGUAGGAACCACUCCUUGGCUCCGUGCCUCAGUUUCCCCUCUGAAAGGAGUUCUGGUUGCUGUGGGGGAUGCAUUUGAUCUGCACAGUUUUCUUGCCCUCUCUGCAACAGGAGAGGCUGCAGCACUGGGGAGGACCUGCAGUCCCCAGCCUGCUCCCCUGUGAGCCUGUUCUGCUCUCCCUCUUCCCCCUGAGCUCUUAGACAGAAUGUUUGCUCCUUCUCUCACUG
Pipra filicauda (Wire-tailed manakin) is the source of this 2517-nucleotide long non-coding RNA. RefSeq lists it as uncharacterized. The record is from RefSeq and is a predicted model, not a curated record. The transcript has 8 exons. Lineage: Eukaryota; Metazoa; Chordata; Aves; Passeriformes; Pipridae.